RNAcentral lists this ribosomal RNA (381 nucleotides) under uncultured Thermoplasmata archaeon. RNAcentral's name for it is "bacterial SSU rRNA". It matches the Rfam family "Archaeal small subunit ribosomal RNA", at positions 471 to 851 of the family's 1478-position model. Lineage: Archaea; Methanobacteriati; Thermoplasmatota; Thermoplasmata. The record is from RNAcentral.
UAAUACCCGCAGCCCGAGUGGUGAUCGUUAUUAUUGAGCCUAAAGCGUCCGUAGCCGGCCUAAUAAAUCCUUGAGUAAAUCGAGCGGCUUAACCGUUCGAAUUUCGAGGAGACUGUUAGGCUAGGGACCGGAAGAGGUCAGAGGUACUCCUGGAGUAGGGGUGAAAUCCUGUAAUCCUGGGAGGACCACCGGUGGCGAAGGCGUCUGACUGGAACGGAUCCGACGGUGAGGGACGAAGCCCUGGGGCGCAAACCGGAUUAGAUACCCGGGUAGUCCAGUGGUGUAAACGCUGCAGACUUGGUGUUAGGGAUCCUACGUGGGUGCCUAGUGCCGGAGAGAAGUUGUUAAGUCUGCCGCUUGGGGAGUACGGUCGCAAGACUG